Molecule: small nuclear RNA, 107 nt
Organism: Mastomys coucha (southern multimammate mouse)
Lineage: Eukaryota; Metazoa; Chordata; Mammalia; Rodentia; Muridae
Source: RefSeq, a predicted model, not a curated record
GUGCUCUCUUCUGCAGCACAAGUAUUAAAAUUGGAAAGAUACAGUUAAGAUGAGUAUGGCCCCUGCGCAAAGACGACAUGCCAAUUCAUGAAGUGUUCCAUACUUUU